GGAAUUUUGGACAAUGGGGGAAGCCCUGAUCCAGCGACGCCGCGUGAGGGACGAAGGUCUUCGGAUUGUAAACCUCUUUUAUUCGGGAAUAAGAAACUUAUGGAAACAUAGGGAGUGAAUGUACCGAAUGAAUAAGCCACGGCUAACUUCGUGCCAGCAGCCGCGGUAAUACGAAGGUGGCAAGCGUUACUCGGAAUUACUAGGCGUAAAGGGCAGGUAGGUGGUUUGAUAAGUCUGUUGUGAAAGCUCCUGGCUUAACUGGGAGAGGUCAACAGAAACUAUCAGGCUUGAGUAUAGGAGAGGGUACUGGAAUUCCCGGUGUAGCGGUGAAAUGCGCAGAGAUCGGGAGGAACACCUAUGGCGAAAGCAGGUACCUGGACUAUUACUGACACUCAGCUGCGAAAGCUAGGGGAGCAAA
This 418-nucleotide ribosomal RNA is filed under the name uncultured bacterium. RNAcentral's name for it is "bacterial SSU rRNA". It matches the Rfam family "Bacterial small subunit ribosomal RNA", at positions 358 to 772 of the family's 1533-position model. The record is from RNAcentral.